RNAcentral lists this transfer RNA (71 nucleotides) under Chloroflexota bacterium. RNAcentral describes it as "tRNA-Gly". It matches the Rfam family "tRNA". From Rfam's summary of the family: Transfer RNA (tRNA) molecules are approximately 80 nucleotides in length. Their secondary structure includes four short double-helical elements and three loops (D, anti-codon, and T loops). Lineage: Bacteria; Bacillati; Chloroflexota. The record is from RNAcentral.
GCCGUCAUAGUCCAGUGGCAAGACAACUGCGUGCCAUGCAGCAGACUCGAGUUCGAAUCUCGGUGACUGCU